Molecule: long non-coding RNA, 1155 nt
Organism: Arabidopsis lyrata subsp. lyrata
Lineage: Eukaryota; Viridiplantae; Streptophyta; Magnoliopsida; Brassicales; Brassicaceae
Exons: 3
Source: RefSeq, a predicted model, not a curated record
AACCUCAUCUUCUUCGACGAAACCCAACCAACCCGAUUCUCAUUCUCGUUCUCGUCUCGCCGGAAUCUCGUACUCGGCUGGCUGAAAUCUCGUUCACACCAUUCUCGUGACGGUUUCACAUUUUUAUCUCCUCGCUGUAAUUACACUUUUAUGUGUAGAGAAUUAUGUUUACAUUAAUAAAAUGUUUCACAUACUUAUACAUUUAAGAAACAAUUUUAGCUUAAAGAGUUUUAGCCCCCAAGAAGAAACAAGAAUUUGAGUUUAAAGAGUGAUGAUCUUGAGGAACAACUUUUUGAUGAUCUUGAUAUGCAGAAAUAGUUUUCUAAUGGUGGAGGCAAGCCCAUUAGUACAUGUGGCCGCUCAAAUCAAUACGUUAAUAAUGAAAAUCAAUACACUUUUAUGUGUAGAUGUCUCCCAAAUUCUCUACUUUUUUUCUCUGUUCUAACGUGUUUCUCUAUAUCUCUCUCUCCGAUCUUGUUUGAAGUGAAUUUUCCUACUUUGGUUUUUUUUUUCGUUUUUGAUGUGUGGUUCUGUGAGAUUAUUAUAUUAAUACGGAGUUGAUGACGGCUACUACGACGUAGGAUGGAGGAUUAAGCUUCACGGUGGCUUCGGUAAUGGAGGAUGUGUUGCAGCAACAUGGAAAUGGGCUGAGAAAUCAUGAUCUAGACUAGAGUCUCGUCGAGCUGAAGAAGCUGUUCAUGGCGGUUGUUGAGCAUGAUUGUGAUCUUCUUCAAAUGUAUCGUGGAGCUGGUGGGAUCGUGGCUGGAUCGAAUCAUGAAUAACGUGGUGGUAGUGCGAGUGAGUAAGCUAAAGUGAAAGAAGACUGUGUUUGAGAUAAAACUGCAGUCUUUUGAUGAUUAAGCUAAGGAGUUGAGGAGUUUUACUGAUUUGGGUUUGAAAGAAGUUAAAGCAUUGGUGGAGAAGACUCAUGCGAUUUUGAAAGCUAGAUUGUCUAAAGAAGAAGAUGAGAAAAUCGUUGAGAAGUUGAAAGCUCUUGGUGUUAAAGUUAUUUUUGAAUGAAAUCAUCAAUUUGUUUGAUUGAUUAUUGUGAUAUAUACAAGUGAUGUGUGAUGCUUGUAGGGAUGACUAUUAGUUGUGACAUGUUGUAAUAUGAUGCUUGGUACAUUAUCUUGUUUGCGAAUUUAACUUUUAGUA